UGUGCAUAAUAUUUUGAGACUUCCCGUUGCUACUGCUACAAUUUCUGAUUGUGUAUAUCAGAAGAAUGGUUUGUAUUCUGUUAAAUCUGGUUAUAGGGUGGCUACGAUGACUAGGAGCAGGGGCCAACUGGGUGUGAGCCAGGGUGAAUGGUCCAAGAUGUGGAGUCUGAACAUUCCUCGUGUUAAGCUGUUUCUAUAGAAAGCAUCCAAAGAUGUUUUGCCAGUCAGAUCUGCUUUACUUCGACAUGCCGUUUGAUGGAGUAUAUGGAAGCAAAGAAAUUCCCAGCCUGUGGCACUCGUUUCGGUCAUCUUCAAGUCGUGCAACUGUAGUUAAUGGCAUUGCUUUUCAGGACUGGUUUGAUUACAUCUGGUAAGAUGGGACGUCAUAGAUGGAGUAGACCAAGUUUGGGUUUUGUGAAGUGUAACUCGGACGCAUCAUUGUUUACUUUGAGUCAAACAUUGGGUAUUGGUUGUGUUGUAAGGAAUCAUCAGGGGUUGUUUUUGUGGGGAUUUUCUAAGACUUUUUCAGGACUUAAGGUAGCUUAUGAAGCUGAAGCAAUUGUUCUUCGCCAAGCCAUUUUAUGGGUUCAAUCUCUAGGUUAUUCAAAGAUGAUUCUUGAAAUGGAUUGCGAACAUGUGGUGGAUGCUCUUAAUUCUUCUUCCUGCGGGAUUUCAGACUUUGAUAUUUUUAAUUCAUAGUUUUCUGUUCGUUUUGAGUAUAGGUAAGCUAAUAUUGUUACUCACUCCUUAGCACCAGCUUCAGUUGAUUAUGAUAGUCCAACUGUUUGGCAUUCCUUCUUCA
Ricinus communis (castor bean) is the source of this 802-nucleotide long non-coding RNA. RefSeq lists it as uncharacterized. The record is from RefSeq and is a predicted model, not a curated record. NCBI's taxonomy places the organism in Eukaryota, Viridiplantae, Streptophyta, Magnoliopsida, Malpighiales, Euphorbiaceae. The transcript is spliced from 2 exons.